GACGAACGCUGGCGGCGUGCUUAACACAUGCAAGUCGAACGGAAAGGCCCUGCUUUUGUGGGGUGCUCGAGUGGCGAACGGGUGAGUAACACGUGAGUAACCUGCCCUUGACUUUGGGAUAACUUCAGGUAACUGGGGCUAAUACCGGAUAGGAGCUCCUGCUGCAUGGUGGGGGUUGGAAAGUUUCGGCGGUUGGGGAUGGACUCGCGGCUUAUCAGCUUGUUGGUGGGGUAGUGGCUUACCAGGGCUUUGACGGGUAGCCGGCCUGAGAGGGUGACCGGCCACAUUGGGACUGAGAUACGGACCAGACUCCUACGUGAGGCAACAGUGGGGAAUAUUGCACAAUGGGCGGAAGCCUGAUGCAGCAGCGCCGCGUUCGGGAUGACGGCCUUCGGGUUGUAAACCGCUUUCGCCUGUGACGAAGCGUGAGUGACGGUAAUGUGUAAAGAAGCACCGGCUAACUACGUG
RNAcentral lists this ribosomal RNA (468 nucleotides) under uncultured bacterium. RNAcentral's name for it is "partial 16S ribosomal RNA". It matches the Rfam family "Bacterial small subunit ribosomal RNA", at positions 28 to 507 of the family's 1533-position model. The record is from RNAcentral.